Molecule: long non-coding RNA, 202 nt
Filed under: Populus trichocarpa (black cottonwood)
Lineage: Eukaryota; Viridiplantae; Streptophyta; Magnoliopsida; Malpighiales; Salicaceae
Description: long non-coding RNA (PTRI_LNC001271)
Source: RNAcentral
CUUCCUCCAAAUCUGACCAGAACAAGGACUCUGAACUCUUUACCAUCAGCAACACCAUUUUAGACACUCAAAGACAAUGACCGCUCAAGAGAAAAACUUGGAGCAAUUAUGGAUAAUAGAAAGGGAUCAACACAGCCACAGGUAAGUAUAUACGAUACCCAUCACUGUACUAACAAAGACUGAAAGAAAAAUGCUUUUGGAU